RNAcentral lists this ribosomal RNA (471 nucleotides) under uncultured bacterium. RNAcentral describes it as "bacterial SSU rRNA". It matches the Rfam family "Bacterial small subunit ribosomal RNA", at positions 364 to 832 of the family's 1533-position model. The record is from RNAcentral.
UUCGCAAUGCCCGAAAGGGUGAACGAGCGACGCCGCGUGCGGGAUGAAGGGUUUCGGCUUGUAAACCGCUUUUCUUUGGGAAGAAGGUCUGUCUCGUGCAGAUGGGCUCGGCGGUACCAGAGGAAUAAGCCUCGGCUAACUCCGUGCCAGCAGCCGCGGUAAGACGGAGGAGGCAAGCGUGGUUCGGAAUCACUGGGCAUAAAGAGCACGUAGGCGGUUGAGCAAGUCCAUUGUGAAAUCCCCCGGCUUAACCGGGGAACUGCAGUGGAUACUACUUGACUUGAGUGCAGGAGGGGAGAGUGGAAUUCCAGGUGGAGCGGUGAAAUGCGUAGAUAUCCGGAGGAACGCCGGUGGCGAAAGCGACUCUCUGGUAUGUAACUGACGCUGAGGUGCGAAAGCUAGGGGAGCAAACGGGAUUAGAUACCCCGGUAGUCCUAGCCCUAAACGAUGGGCACUAAGUAGAGGGGUUUU